GUAAAGGGAAGCCCUACAAUCCCCAACAGCCCUAACUCACAGGAUCCCGGAAUUCAGUGCUCAAGCAGCUACUCAGCCCCCACUGCGGGUGCAGGCAAUUCCACCAGGCACACGAGGAAAUGGGAGGGCUGUGACACAGAAGCUAAAAGCCUCAAUUACCCUUCGUGACAGGAACAGAGGACAUAUUUAUGAAGAGAGAAAUUUUUGCCUCGUAAAUCACACUUGUGAGGAAUCAGCCGAGCUGGUGACCAUGGUGACAGCCAGAGGCAGCCUCCGAGCGGGGAUCACCCAGCCUCACACCUGCUCAUUAAACCGGACAGCGUCCUGAGAGAGCACCUCGGAGUCAGCCAGGGCCAGGAGCGGGCCAGGACGGGCAGCACGCAGGGCUGGAGCUCAGGUGCAUCCCUGGUUCCCAACCUUGGGGGCUCAUGGGUAUCAACUCUGGAAGCGGGAGGUUUGGAGGGGCUUUCGACGACCCUGUCACCUGGGUCCCACCGCAGAGAUUGAUGAUGUAAUUGUCCCAGUGGCGCCUGGGAAUUGGGAGCUUUAAACGCCACCCAAGUGAUUCUGACAUGCAGCCAAGGUUGAGGGCUCACUAGGCCUCACCCUGCCUGCCAAUCGAUGAAUCAAACAGCAAGCUUUCAGCAAGUGCACCCUGGUAGGGGGACCCGGAAAUAGGGCAGAGUUUCUGCCCAGGCUCAUGCUCCACGUUGCUGACUCCCAUUCCCCACGGUGACAAAGACCCUGAAGGCGGCCUGCGGCCAGGACAUGGUACCGGGGGAGCAGCAGCUGCUCCUGCUCUGGGCCCAGAGGCUGAAUCUGUUUGGGGUUCCCACCGAUGCACGCCAAUGCUGCCCCUCCAGGCGGUGGUCAUACAUGCAUGCGUCCUCUUGGUCCUGCUUUCUUGUUCCCCUGCCCUUCGCAGAACAUCCCCGGCUGCCAGAGGAGCGCCUUUCAUUUCAUUUACAAGCCUUUGCUGACCGCCUCCGGCGUGCAGCGGGCACCAGGACUGCGCUGGGCAGGGGGCUCACACGAAGCCGGGACUCGAGUCAACCAAGCUCCCUCCAGCACAGAGCGACCCUUACCUCCUCACAAGGGGAACCCAUCCGCGUGGUGAGCUGCCUCGGGAGGGUGCGAGCAGAGACUCAGAGGGGCCUCUAGCGACUUGUGUUCUUCCCCUGGCAUUGCAGGCGGACUCCAUAGCUUUCUAAUAAAUAGUCCCAUACUUUAUAAAGAAAAGUCUAGCUCAGUUGAUUAGCAAAACCUCAAACUCUCACCCAAUUUAAAGGUCGACCCUCCCUGCUCCAGCCAGAUCAGCCCUGGGGUGGCUCGAGGUCAGGUGCGCGGGUGUCCAGCCGACUCUGGGGAAGAUUCCAUGCUCUCAGCCUCCGCACGCUGGGGGUCCUGGCCUUGACAAUGUCUUCUCCUAAAGUGACACAGCAUGAUCCCUGUCCAACAUCUGGUUCCUUACACAAUAUUCAGACCUCCAUCGGUUGUUGAUGUUUGUUUUCUAAUAAAAGCAUUUAAGGAUAUGAAUUUU
Molecule: long non-coding RNA, 1540 nt
Organism: Myotis lucifugus (little brown bat)
Lineage: Eukaryota; Metazoa; Chordata; Mammalia; Chiroptera; Vespertilionidae
Exons: 2
Source: RefSeq, a predicted model, not a curated record